Pyrgilauda ruficollis (rufous-necked snowfinch) is the source of this 664-nucleotide long non-coding RNA. RefSeq lists it as uncharacterized. Lineage: Eukaryota; Metazoa; Chordata; Aves; Passeriformes; Passeridae. The transcript is spliced from 3 exons. The record is from RefSeq and is a predicted model, not a curated record.
CGUGCUCAAACCCGACGAUGACGUCGGCGGCUUUGAUGGCUGACAGGCGGUGAGCGAUGGAGAUCGCUGUGCGGCCGAGGCGAGCCUGAGGGAGACAACAACAGCCCCACUCCCAGCACAGCACACUGACAUGCUGGCAAUGAGCACUGCAACCUAAAGGCUCGUCAGAUUAACUGGAGUCCUUCUAGUGGGUUCAGCCCACUUUGACUUUAGCUCAAUCCACAGCCCACAGAGAAGCAUCUGUUUCUGGGCAAAGGGAGCUAUAGGUUUCUGUUGAUGUCCCAAGUGCUGAUGUAGCCAUAUCCAGGAGCAGGAUUUUGGGGUUUCGCACCAAAGCUCGAGCAAUAGCUAUCCUCUGUUUUUGACCUCCACUCAUCUGGCUUCCACCCUCUCCAACAUGAGUGUCAAAUUUCUGUGUGAAGGAAAAAAGAUUAAAGAGCCCCACGACCAGUGGCAAAGGCUUCCAGACAGGGAGAUGCCUGGCCAAGAUUUAAUGCUCCUAUUAAAACGCCAAAGAAAACCUGAAGAAGUGGAAAAAGAAGUUAACAAAAUAUGACAUCACAUUUUUAUUAUAGCUUACAGCUUAGACAAGCAAACCCAACUACAAUAGCUUUAUGACUUCUCAUGCAUCUGCUGAACUGAAGUGAUUCACUACAUGAGCAUU